This 397-nucleotide ribosomal RNA is filed under the name uncultured Bacteroidota bacterium. Its description in RNAcentral is "bacterial SSU rRNA". It matches the Rfam family "Bacterial small subunit ribosomal RNA", at positions 138 to 533 of the family's 1533-position model. Lineage: Bacteria; Pseudomonadati; Bacteroidota. The record is from RNAcentral.
GGGGGAUAGCCCAGAGAAAUUUGGAUUAAUACCCCGUAACACAGUGAGUUGGCAUCAACUUAUUGUUAUAGCUACGGCGCUUGAUGAUGGGUGUGCGGCUGAUUAGAUAGUUGGCGAGGUAACGGCUCACCAAGUCUACGAUCAGUAGCUGAUGUGAGAGCAUGAUCAGCCACACGGGCACUGAGACACGGGCCCGACUCCUACGGGAGGCAGCAGUAAGGAAUAUUGGUCAAUGGACGCAAGUCUGAACCAGCCAUGCCGCGUGAAGGAUUAAGGUCCUCUGGAUUGUAAACUUCUUUUAUUUGGGACGAAAAAGGGCCUUUCUAGGUCAACUGACGGUACCAGAUGAAUAAGCACCGGCUAACUCCGUGCCAGCAGCCGCGGUAAUACGGAGGGU